Molecule: transfer RNA, 71 nt
Filed under: Spirochaetota bacterium
Lineage: Bacteria; Pseudomonadati; Spirochaetota
Description: tRNA-Gly
Rfam family: tRNA
About the family: Transfer RNA (tRNA) molecules are approximately 80 nucleotides in length. Their secondary structure includes four short double-helical elements and three loops (D, anti-codon, and T loops). Further hydrogen bonds mediate the characteristic L-shaped molecular structure. tRNAs have two regions of fundamental functional importance: the anti-codon, which is responsible for specific mRNA codon recognition, and the 3' end, to which the tRNAs corresponding amino acid is attached (by aminoacyl-tRNA synthetases). tRNAs cope with the degeneracy of the genetic code in two manners: having more than one tRNA (with a specific anti-codon) for a particular amino acid; and 'wobble' base-pairing, i.e. permitting non-standard base-pairing at the 3rd anti-codon position.
Source: RNAcentral
GCGGGUGUAAUUCAAUGGUAGAAUGUGAGCUUCCCAAGCUUAAAACGUGGGUUCGAUUCCCAUCACCCGCU